AAUUGGCUUGUGACAGUCAAGCGCUCAUAGCGACGUUGCUUUUUGACCCUUCGAUAUUGACUGUUCCUAUCAUAUUGUAGCGGAAGUCAGUAAGUGUUUGAUUGUUUACCCGCCAAUAAGGAACAAGGUCUGGAGUUUAGACUGUCGUGAGGUAGGUU
RNAcentral lists this non-coding RNA (158 nucleotides) under Linnemannia elongata AG-77. RNAcentral's name for it is "Mortierella elongata AG-77 Eukaryotic large subunit ribosomal RNA". It matches the Rfam family "Eukaryotic large subunit ribosomal RNA", at positions 2828 to 2984 of the family's 3401-position model. The record is from Rfam by way of RNAcentral. Lineage: Eukaryota; Fungi; Mortierellomycota; Mortierellomycetes; Mortierellales; Mortierellaceae.